Molecule: long non-coding RNA, 744 nt
Organism: Gadus chalcogrammus (walleye pollock)
Lineage: Eukaryota; Metazoa; Chordata; Actinopteri; Gadiformes; Gadidae
Exons: 3
Source: RefSeq, a predicted model, not a curated record
UGUCCUGGCAGCACUCUCAUGUGGUCUUCUCUCUCCCUGUCUCGCUCUCUACCUCUGAAAGGUAUUGCUUCUUCUCAAGGAUGUACUGGAUUUGCUGCAACUCAGUCACCAUGGGGACGGUUACCGAGGAAAUAUUGAGAGGAAGAGAGGCGAGGAAGUGAAGAUGCAUGCAGCAGAAAUAAAGAAGAAUACGAGAGGCCGGUGCUACACAGCAUCGUGUUGGAUCUGCUCACAUUCACCCACGGUCGGUCGUCGGCUAUAGGAGGAGAGACCUGGCAGCCAUGCAACCCGCUCCAUCAAAGGGGUACAGCGAGGGAGAGAAGGGCACCAGUCCAACGAGAUCGCUCCUCUCAAUUUCGGGAACACUGCUUUUGGACCAUCAGCAUUUACAGUCAGAGCGGCAGAAAAUGGAACUGGUAAUGGCAACGGAUAAUGGAAAUGGAACUCAAUUUGCAUACGUACGAGAGAAUGCACAGGCUUAAGUGUUCGGAAACAUGUUAAACAUGGCUCAAGACAGACAAAUCAUGUGAUCACUGAUCUAAGAGUGAACACACACGUUAUAAGAAUGAAGCCUUACUGACAAGAGUCUUAAAUUAUUCAUUCAAUGAAUCUCUAUCCGCUUCUCCCCUCUUCUACACAUGCAUUUAAACAUCCUCAAACAAGUGCAUGAUACUUUAUAACCCUCCAGAGAGAAAGGCCACUGGUGGCAAUAAUGCAAUAUCCAAUAUUCCGAAAGUAAAAAUG